AAACUAACAAGGAUUCCCCUAGUAACGGCGAGUGAAGCGGGAAGAGCUCAAAUUUGAAAGCUGGCGCCUUCGGCGUCCGCGUUGUAAUCUCGAGAAGUGUUUUCCGUGCUGGACCAUGUACAAGUUCCUUGGAAUAGGACGUCAUAGAGGGUGAAAAUCCCGUACUUGAUGUGGCCGCCCAGUGCUUUGUGAUACACUUUCCAUGAGUCGAGUUGUUUGGGAAUGCAGCUCAAAAUGGGUGGUAAAUUCCAUCUAAAGCUAAAUAUUGGGGAGAGACCGAUAGCGAACAAGUACCGUGAGGGAAAGAUGAAAAGCACUUUGGAAAGAGAGUUAAAUAGUACGUGAAAUUGUCGAAAGGGAAGCGCUUGAAGUUAGACAUGCUAGUUGGAAUUCAGCCUUGCUUUUGCUUGGUGCAUUUUCCGGUUAGCAGGCCAGCAUCAGUUUUGCCUGUCGGAUAAGGGUAGGAGGAAUGUGGCCCCUCGGGGUGUUAUAGCCUCUUACUGGAUACGACGGGUGGGACUGAGGACAGCAGUGCGCCUUUAUGGCGGGCCUUCGGGCACCUUCGCACUUAGGAUGCUGGCGUAAUGGCUUUAAGCGAC
Molecule: ribosomal RNA, 599 nt
Filed under: Jaminaea sp. NYNU 12726
Lineage: Eukaryota; Fungi; Basidiomycota; Exobasidiomycetes; Microstromatales
Description: eukaryotic LSU rRNA
Rfam family: Eukaryotic large subunit ribosomal RNA
Source: RNAcentral